GUGCAAACAAAAUGAAAUUGUGGAGCAGCAGCAACCUUCCAGUCAGUAGAUGGCGCCCUCGAGCUACAGCCACCCCACAUUAAAGGAGCCGCACUAAUGAAGUCAGACUAGCAUGUCCCACACCGAGUCAUCACAGGACAGGUUUAGCUCCGAAUGAGUUGUCUGCUCACAGUACGCCGACCAUGAGGUGGUGCGGUCAGCGAAAUGGGAACAAAUAUGUGCUUUUGCCUCCAGCACCCAAAGAUAGACUUUUAUUGCUGUUGUCUGCUAUGUGCAGCCACAGCUGUGCUUCAUCCCUGGAGUUCAGUGCUUUGGUUCAUGUUUGAGUGAUUCCUGACUCAGCAUCAGUGAAGCAGCAGAGUCCAACAAAGGAGGACAGCCUGCAGAGCUGCUGUUCAGGGCUCAAAGUCUACAACAUACAAACAUGUUAAACAACGUGCACAUGAUACAACUACAAGGAGGCCACUGUGGUUGAGAAUAACUGGAGUGAUGCUGAGACCGGAAUAACUGAAACAUGGAAUGGCAUCCCGACACAUGAACAUGUGGAUCUUCAGUUCCACAGACGUACGUGAGCAGCUGCUCUCUACGCCUCACGGACGACAGCGUGAACUUCAUACAGUAUCGAUUUGGUUCAGGAGCGCACGUCCCAUUAACCAGGCUCUCUGCUGCUUGGCUCAGCAGUUCCACAACAGACGACAUGUUGGCGAGGAGACCGGACUCGCUGGACAGCCUGGCUGCCGACGUGUCGGCACCUUCUGAGG
Pelmatolapia mariae (spotted tilapia) is the source of this 761-nucleotide long non-coding RNA. RefSeq lists it as uncharacterized. The record is from RefSeq and is a predicted model, not a curated record. The transcript has 3 exons. NCBI's taxonomy places the organism in Eukaryota, Metazoa, Chordata, Actinopteri, Cichliformes, Cichlidae.